AACGAACGCUGGCGGCAUGCCUAACACAUGCAAGUCGAACGAAACCUUCGGGUCUAGUGGCGCACGGGUGCGUAACGCGUGGGAACCUGCCUUUAGGUUCGGAAUAACCCAUAGAAUUUUUAGCUAAUACCGGGUGUUGUCUUCGGACCAAAGUUUUAUCGCCUUUAGAUGGGCCCGCGUUGGAUUAGCUAGUUGGUGGGGUAAAGGCCUACCAGGGCGACGAUCCAUAGCUGGUCUGCGAGGAUGAUCAGCCACACUGGGACUGAGACACGGCCCAGACUCGUACGGGAGGGAGCAGUGGGGAAUAUUGGACAAUGAGCGAAAGCGUGAUCAAGCAAUGCCGCGUGAGUGAUGAAGGCCUUAGGAUUGUAAAGCUCUUUUACCCGAGAUGAUAAUGACAGUAACGGGAGAAUAAGCACCGGCUAACUCCGUG
RNAcentral lists this ribosomal RNA (433 nucleotides) under uncultured bacterium. RNAcentral's name for it is "partial 16S ribosomal RNA". It matches the Rfam family "Bacterial small subunit ribosomal RNA", at positions 29 to 507 of the family's 1533-position model. The record is from RNAcentral.